GCAGCCGCGGUAAUUCCAGCUCUCAAAGUGUAUAUCGUCAUUGCUGCGGUUAAAAAGCUCGUAGUUGGAUCUGCGCCUCAGGACCUGGUCCGCCCACUGGGCGAGAACAGGGCUCCUGGGCUAGUUCUGUUGGUUUUCCCUACGUUGCCUUCAUCGGUCGCGUAGGGUGGCUAGCGAGUUUACUUUGAAAAAAUUAGAGUGCUUCACGCGGGCUUAUGUCUGAAUACUCGUGCAUGGAAUAAUAGAAUAGGAUCUCGGUUCUAUUUUGUUGGUUUUCUGAUCUGAGAUAAUGGUUAAGAGGGACGGACGGGGGCAUUCGUAUCGCUGCGUGAGAGGUGAAAUUCUUGGACCGUAGCGAGACGUCCGACUGCGAAAGCAUUUGCCAAGAAUGUCUUCAUUAAUCAAGAACGAAAGUCAGAGGUUCGAAGGCGAUCAGAUACCGCCCUAGUUCUGACCGUAAACGAUACCAACUAGCGUUCCGUCGGCGGUAAAUACGCCUUGACGGGCAGCUUCCCGGAAACGAAAGUCUUUCGGUUCCGGGGGAAGUAUGGUUGCAAAGCUGAAACUUAAAGAAAUUGACGGAAGGGCACCACCAGGAGUGGAGCCUGCGGCUUAAUUUGACUCAACACGGGAAAACUCACCUGGCCCGGACACCGUGAGGAUUGACAGAUUGAGAGCUCUUUCUUGAUUCGGUGGUUGGUGGUGCAUGGCCGUUCUUAGUUGGUGGAGUGAUUUGUCUGGUUUAUUCCGAUAACGAGCGAGACUCUAGCCUACUAAAUAGUCAUCGGAUAAAUAAGUCCGGAAGACUUCUUAGAGGGACAAGCGGUAUUCAGCCGCAUGAAGUUGAGCAAUAACAGGUCUGUGAUGCCCUUAGAUGUCCAGGACUGCACGCGCGCUACACUGGAGGAAUCAGCGUGCUGUAACCAUUGCCGAAAGGUAUUGGUAACCCCUUGAAAAUCCUCCGUGAUCGGGAUCGGGAAUUGCAAUUAUUUCCCUUGAACGAGGAAUUCCUAGUAAGUGUGAGUCAUCAGCUCACGUUGAUUACGUCCCUGCCCUUUGUACACACCGCCCGUCGCUGCCCGGGACUGAGCCGUUUCGAGAAAAGCGGGGACUGCUGUUUCGAGACCUUUCGAGGUGGAGAUUCUUUGGUGGAAACCGCCUUAAUCGCAGUGGCUUGAACCGGGCAAAAGUCGUAACAAGGUUUCCGU
This 1208-nucleotide ribosomal RNA is filed under the name Ortleppascaris sp. JNS-2012. RNAcentral describes it as "SSU rRNA". It matches the Rfam family "Eukaryotic small subunit ribosomal RNA", at positions 570 to 1806 of the family's 1831-position model. The record is from RNAcentral. Lineage: Eukaryota; Metazoa; Nematoda; Chromadorea; Rhabditida; Ascarididae.